AGGGGAGCCGAAGGGAAACCGAGUCUUAACUGGGCGUUAAGUUGCAGGGUAUAGACCCGAAACCCGGUGAUCUAGCCAUGGGCAGGUUGAAGGUUGGGUAACACUAACUGGAGGACCGAACCGACUAAUGUUGAAAAAUUAGCGGAUGACUUGUGGCUGGGGGUGAAAGGCCAAUCAAACCGGGAGAUAGCUGGUUCUCCCCGAAAGCUAUUUAGGUAGCGCCUCGUGAAUUCAUCUCCGGGGGUAGAGCACUGUUUCGGCAAGGGGGUCAUCCCGACUUACCAACCCGAUGCAAACUGCGAAUACCGGAGAAUGUUAUCACGGGAGACACACGGCGGGUGCUAACGUCCGUCGUGAAGAGGGAAACAACCCAGACCGCCAGCUAAGGUCCCAAAGUCAUGGUUAAGUGGGAAACGAUGUGGGAAGGCCCAGACAGCCAGGAUGUUGGCUUAGAAGCAGCCAUCAUUUAAAGAAAGCGUAAUAGCUCACUGGUCGAGUCGGCCUGCGCGGAAGAUGUAACGGGGCUAAACCAUGCACCGAAGCUGCGGCAGCGACACUGUGUGUUGUUGGGUAGGGGAGCGUUCUGUAAGCCUGUGAAGGUGUGCUGUGAGGCAUGCUGGAGGUAUCAGAAGUGCGAAUGCUGACAUAAGUAACGAUAAAGCGGGUGAAAAGCCCGCUCGCCGGAAGACCAAGGGUUCCUGUCCAACGUUAAUCGGGGCAGGGUGAGUCGACCCCUAAGGCGAGGCCGAAAGGCGUAGUCGAUGGGAAACAGGUUAAUAUUCCUGUACUUGGUGUUACUGCGAAGGGGGGACGGAGAAGGCUAUGUUGGCCGGGCGACGGUUGUCCCGGUUUAAGCGUGUAGGCUGGUUUUCCAGGCAAAUCCGGAAAAUCAAGGCUGAGGCGUGAUGACGAGGCACUACGGUGCUGAAGCAACAAAUGCCCUGCUUCCAGGAAAAGCCUCUAAGCAUCAGGUAACAUCAAAUCGUACCCCAAACCGACACAGGUGGUCAGGUAGAGAAUACCAAGGCGCUUGAGAGAACUCGGGUGAAGGAACUAGGCAAAAUGGUGCCGUAACUUCGGGAGAAGGCACGCUGAUAUGUAGGUGAAGUCCCUCGCGGAUGGAGCUGAAAUCAGUCGAAGAUACCAGCUGGCUGCAACUGUUUAUUAAAAACACAGCACUGUGCAAACACGAAAGUGGACGUAUACGGUGUGACGCCUGCCCGGUGCCGGAAGGUUAAUUGAUGGGGUCAGCGCAAGCGAAGCUCUUGAUCGAAGCCCCGGUAAACGGCGGCCGUAACUAUAACGGUCCUAAGGUAGCGAAAUUCCUUGUCGGGUAAGUUCCGACCUGCACGAAUGGCGUAAUGAUGGCCAGGCUGUCUCCACCCGAGACUCAGUGAAAUUGAACUCGCUGUGAAGAUGCAGUGUACCCGCGGCAAGACGGAAAGACCCCGUGAACCUUUACUAUAGCUUGACACUGAACAUUGAGCCUUGAUGUGUAGGAUAGGUGGGAGGCUUUGAAGUGUGGACGCCAGUCUGCAUGGAGCCGACCUUGAAAUACCACCCUUUAAUGUUUGAUGUUCUAACGUGGACCCGUGAUCCGGGUUGCGGACAGUGUCUGGUGGGUAGUUUGACUGGGGCGGUCUCCUCCUAAAGAGUAACGGAGGAGCACGAAGGUUGGCUAAUCCUGGUCGGACAUCAGGAGGUUAGUGCAAUGGCAUAAGCCAGCUUGACUGCGAGCGUGACGGCGCGAGCAGGUGCGAAAGCAGGUCAUAGUGAUCCGGUGGUUCUGAAUGGAAGGGCCAUCGCUCAACGGAUAAAAGGUACUCCGGGGAUAACAGGCUGAUACCGCCCAAGAGUUCAUAUCGACGGCGGUGUUUGGCACCUCGAUGUCGGCUCAUCACAUCCUGGGGCUGAAGUAGGUCCCAAGGGUAUGGCUGUUCGCCAUUUAAAGUGGUACGCGAGCUGGGUUUAGAACGUCGUGAGACAGUUCGGUCCCUAUCUGCCGUGGGCGCUGGAGAACUGAGGGGGGCUGCUCCUAGUACGAGAGGACCGGAGUGGACGCAUCACUGGUGUUCGGGUUGUCAUGCCAAUGGCACUGCCCGGUAGCUAAAUGCGGAAGAGAUAAGUGCUGAAAGCAUCUAAGCACGAAACUUGCCCCGAGAUGAGUUCUCCCUGACCCUUUAAGGGUCCUGAAGGAACGUUGAAGACGACGACGUUGAUAGGCCGGGUGUGUAAGCGCAGCGAUGCGUUGAGCUAACCGGUACUAAUGAACCGUGAGGCUUAACCUUACAACGCCGAAGGUGUUU
This 2306-nucleotide ribosomal RNA is filed under the name Escherichia coli. RNAcentral's name for it is "partial 23S ribosomal RNA". It matches the Rfam family "Bacterial large subunit ribosomal RNA", at positions 659 to 2925 of the family's 2925-position model. The record is from RNAcentral. Lineage: Bacteria; Pseudomonadati; Pseudomonadota; Gammaproteobacteria; Enterobacterales; Enterobacteriaceae.